AUUGAACGCUGGCGGCAUGCUUUACACAUGCAAGUCGAACGGUAACAGCACUUCGGUGGCUGACGAGUGGCGAACGGGUGAGUAAUACAUCGGAACGUGCCUAGUAGUGGGGGAUAACUACUCGAAAGAGUAGCUAAUACCGCAUGAGAUCUAAGGAUGAAAGCAGGGGACCUUCGGGCCUUGCGCUACUAGAGCGGCUGAUGGCAGAUUAGGUAGUUGGUGGGAUAAAAGCUUACCAAGCCGACGAUCUGUAGCUGGUCUGAGAGGACGACCAGCCACACUGGGACUGAGACACGGCCCAGACUCCUACGGGAGGCAGCAGUGGGGAAUUUUGGACAAUGGGCGCAAGCCUGAUCCAGCAAUGCCGCGUGCAGGAUGAAGGCCUUCGGGUUGUAAACUGCUUUUGUACGGAAAGAAAAGCCCUCGUCUAAUACAGGAGGGUCAUGACGGUACCGUAAGAAUAAGCACCGGCUAACUACGUG
Molecule: ribosomal RNA, 482 nt
Filed under: uncultured bacterium
Lineage: Bacteria
Description: partial 16S ribosomal RNA
Rfam family: Bacterial small subunit ribosomal RNA
Source: RNAcentral